Molecule: ribosomal RNA, 459 nt
Filed under: uncultured bacterium
Lineage: Bacteria
Description: partial 16S ribosomal RNA
Rfam family: Bacterial small subunit ribosomal RNA
Source: RNAcentral
CCUACGGGAGGCUGCAGUGAGGAAUAUUGGUCAAUGGCCGAGAGGCUGAACCAGCCAAGUCGCGUGAGGGAAGACGGCCCUACGGGUUGUAAACCUCUUUUGUCGGGGAGCAAAGCGAGACACGUGUGACUCAUUGAGAGUACCCGAAGAAAAAGCAUCGGCUAACUCCGUGCCAGCAGCCGCGGUAAUACGGAGGAUGCGAGCGUUAUCCGGAUUUAUUGGGUUUAAAGGGUGCGCAGGCGGAGGUGCAAGUCAGCGGUCAAAUUGCGGGGCUCAACCCCGUACUGCCGUUGAAACUGCUGCCCUUGAGUGCGCGAGAAGUAUGCGGAAUGCGUGGUGUAGCGGUGAAAUGCAUAGAGAUCACGCAGAACUCCGAUUGCGAAGGCAGCAUACCGGCGCGCAACUGACGCUCAUGCACGAAAGCGUGGGUAUCGAACAGGAUUAGAUACCCCAGUAGUC